RNAcentral lists this ribosomal RNA (529 nucleotides) under fungal sp. PIMO_30.2. RNAcentral describes it as "eukaryotic LSU rRNA". The stretch from base 165 to 318 matches the Rfam family "5.8S ribosomal RNA". Lineage: Eukaryota; Fungi. The record is from RNAcentral.
GGAUCAUUACAAGAACGCCCGGGCUUCGGCCUGGUUAUUCAUAACCCUUUGUUGUCCGACUCUGUUGCCUCCGGGGCGACCCUGCCUUCGGGCGGGGGCUCCGGGUGGACACUUCAAACUCUUGCGUAACUUUGCAGUCUGAGUAAACUUAAUUAAUAAAUUAAAACUUUUAACAACGGAUCUCUUGGUUCUGGCAUCGAUGAAGAACGCAGCGAAAUGCGAUAAGUAAUGUGAAUUGCAGAAUUCAGUGAAUCAUCGAAUCUUUGAACGCACAUUGCGCCCCCUGGUAUUCCGGGGGGCAUGCCUGUUCGAGCGUCAUUUCACCACUCAAGCCUCGCUUGGUAUUGGGCAACGCGGUCCGCCGCGUGCCUCAAAUCGUCCGGCUGGGUCUUCUGUCCCCUAAGCGUUGUGGAAACUAUUCGCUAAAGGGUGUUCGGGAGGCUACGCCGUAAAACAACCCCAUUUCUAAGGUUGACCUCGGAUCAGGUAGGGAUACCCGCUGAACUUAAGCAUAUCAAUAAGCGGAGGA